GCCAAGACAAGCGGAAGCUCCGGUUCAGGGAGAACGUUCCCCAGGAAAUCAGGGCAGCAGAGUUUUCCAGGAACGGAGGCUGUGACGGUGGAGGGUGGCCAGGCAGCAGGAGGCCGGGGAAGCGGGUGUCCUGAAGCAGAGGCCGCGGCGCCACGUGUAUGGCAGCUUGCAGGAUAAAAGCCAAAGUGAUUGCUCCAAAUGGACAUCCAUGCCAGUCAUCUGUGUAAGGAUCGCUGAGUGUCUCACAAAAGCACGUGGGUAUGAAGGUGGGGUUGACAUUGAUGAUUAAACCAAGCAGUACAGAAGCAUCGGUGCUGGUCACUUAUCCCCGUCCUUCCCAUCAUUCGAGAUCCCCUUCCAGCGAAUGGCAUCUUCUGGUGUGUGCAGGACCCGAUGGAGGAGUGAUGAGACCUCAGAGCCAUGUCCAGGCUCUUCCAGUCAGUUGGUGGCCUCCACAAAUGCCAGCCAGCCCGCCCAAUGCAAGCUUCUGCUUGGCCAACGUGUAGCAGUUACGAUGCAGCAAUUGGAAGAGGCUGUGGGGAUCAGUAAUUCCAGUGGGGGAGCGACGGACACCCCUAAGAACCCAUUCCACGAUUUUAGUCCCAAAUUGGAUUUUGCUUGGAGAAAUUCUCUGCCCUGUAGUAGUGGUUUUUAAGAUCACAGAUAUUGGAGUAAGAAAGACAAGGCUCUUCUAUUUGCUGGUCUAUUGACUCACAGGGGAAUACCAGAGAACUUGGCAUCCAGAAAACAGUCAACAAAUGAAGACAGUGCAACUAAGACCUGGGCGCCAUGUUCCUUCCCUAAGGCUCAUUUCACUAGGAUGCUGUGUCAGCACGCGCACACACACACACACACACACUCACACACUCCAGGAAGCCUCUAAAAGAAAUGCAAGUGUUCUCCAGUAGAAGGAGCAUCGCUGAAAUUUACUCAACAGCACGGUCUUCGUGUCUUUCCCUCCCAGGCCCACACUCUCAGCUGCCUCCUCCCCUCUCGCUCCUUUCCUCCUGUGUUCUCCAGCAAGGGUGAGGACCCACUGUCAUUCAGAAAACCUCCUCCUAGUUUUUCUAUGCAGGGAGUCAUUCACACAUCCAGCAAGGAAAACAGGGGCUUGUGCAGACUCUCCUUGGGAGGUAAUGGGAGAGGGAUUCUAAAUGCUUGUCACAUUUUUACCUGACACUGUUACUACCAUGUAACUACUAAUAACUAAUGCCAACUUCUGAAUCAUAUUUCCUAUCAUCUUAUGAGAGAGAACUCUGUGGUGUAUAAACACCAAAUCACAAAUCUCCACUUUACAUUCUUGUUUGUCUACUUGUUUGUCUGUUUUCCACUGCAGUGCAGGAGCCCGUGGAGGAGACC
Molecule: long non-coding RNA, 1359 nt
Filed under: Homo sapiens (human)
Lineage: Eukaryota; Metazoa; Chordata; Mammalia; Primates; Hominidae
Description: HSALNT0083360
Source: RNAcentral